Neofelis nebulosa (Clouded leopard) is the source of this 2521-nucleotide long non-coding RNA. RefSeq lists it as uncharacterized. NCBI's taxonomy places the organism in Eukaryota, Metazoa, Chordata, Mammalia, Carnivora, Felidae. The transcript is spliced from 6 exons. The record is from RefSeq and is a predicted model, not a curated record.
CACGCGUCAUUGCUUACCGCCUGUCCUCCGAGAGCUGAAGGCCACGCGGGUGGGAAGCCCACAGGUCACCUCCUCUGACCCCAGUUGGAGCUUGCCUAGGGUAGCAUAACAGAAACAAAGAAAGCCACAGGCUGCUAGAGAUGACUCCUGCCAAGGUGGCAGCAGUAGGAGCCUAUAACCAACAGAUGAGAGGUGUAAAGCACACCAGACAGCAUAGAGCCAGCCAUGAGGCCACUGAGCACAGGGAAACAGCCAAGAUGAUGGCUGACUUCUCUGACAUGGUUGCAGCAGAGGAAAGGGAGAGAGAAGAGAAAGGAGAGAAAAUUAAGAGAGUAAAAAUCAAGUUUCUUCUGAAAGAAAGCAAAUCCCACAUCCACUGAAGAUGAUAUGUGGAAGGGUGACUUUGAGGGGAAAAAUGAUCAGGAGAUUAAGUGAUAAAAUGACAAUGAAGAUGAGGGAAGAGCAUCAGAUUCAUAUCAAAUAGACCCUUCUUCUGAAUCAAUCAUUUUUAAAUUAAAAAAAAAAGUUGUAUUGAUAAAGUCCAUACAAAUUUCAGAAGACUAUUUUGUAUUACUUUACCAUAUUGAAAUGUCAUGUAUAUUUUGGUUAAAAUAAGUGGCUUAGAAAAUGUUUUUGUAUCUUUGUUAUGUGUUGUAUUAUGAUUUGCCCUGCAAACACCAGUGGGCAUGUAUGGUCUCAAUUAUGACUUUUAUUCUUUGAAUACUACAUUGAAAACAGCCAAAGCAAAUGCAAGGGUUAAGAGAUCAGGUUUUCUAGCCAGAGAGAUUGUCACUGGACUUCCUAGCUGCAAAACCACAGUCAAAUUACUUAUCCAUUGACUCAGUUAACUCAUUUAUAAAAGGGAUUGAAAAUAACACCCAAUCCAUAGGCAGAUGGACAGGAAUAAAUGAGAUGAUAUAUGUGCAGAGUCGAUAACAAACACAUGUUAAUAAAUAUAAGCUGCUACAUUAACCAUAAUCAAACAAGGAGUAUUUUUAAAGAUAGUUUGCACCCUUCUUUUAUGGCACUAUCCUUAUCUCAAACUAUUAACAUUUGCCUUGUAGUCUGAAACCACAUCUAGAGGUGUUGCAAGCAUUCAUGAUGAACAGUGUUGAAAAGAUACAAGUUACAGGUGAAUAAAAUGCUAAAAUGUAGACAUACUAUCUAAAAUUUUAGAAAAUAUGUGCAGAAAGAAAUACACGCACACACACACAUACAUGUCUCUAAGUAAGAUAUCUAUUUUUUUUCCAGCAAUAAAGACAUUAAUAAAAACCUGCAAAAUUGAAGAUGGUUUCAACCCUUUAAUCUAAUCUUAACUUUCCCCUUAUUCUUUUGGAAAUACUCUCCACCUCUCUCCCCCUUUCUCUCCACCCUCGGAUUUCUUUUUUGCUAGCAAACCUUGCCUGCCAUCUUUGAACAAAGUGAUGUUCAUGGUUAGAUUACAGGCAGGGGCAGCCAACAGCAUUCUUUACAAAUAGAGGCUGAGCACACUCUUUCCCCAGAAUGAUAAACCUAUCACCUCUCCCGCCCUCAGUUUGAAGCAGCAGCAGUAAUUCUGUUGGAUGCCAAAACUAAAAUCAAUGUGCCUGUGCCAUGCCCAGCUCUGAGCUGUGGCUGUAAUGAGAUUUGAAUGGGAAGCCCCGGACACAAUAAAUCUGCGCCAUAUGUGACCAUUUCCUGUGUCAGUUCCUUUCUCAUAACCAGUGGAGACUUUUUUCCCCUCUCAUGACCUCACACCAUGACUCUGAAAUCUUUCAUGGCUGCUUAUGGGCCUCGGGCUUUUUACAGCAGUUGUAUAAAUAAAUGAAUUUGACAGCAAACAUCAUAACAGUUAGCAGUAAUGUGUGUUUGCCACAAGUGCCUAUACUACUCACUGGAGAAAUGGCAGAGGAAACAGCUUGUUUUGUUACCUAAACAAAAGUAGUUUCGUUUGACAAGUGCUGAAAGAAUUAGUCAAAUAAACUUGAAAUCCACUAGGACUGUUUCUGCCAAUUCUCCCUGCCAGUGAAAUGUUCCCAGCUCCUCUGUGCCCAUGACUCACAAGAGAUAAAUUUCCCUCUUUUAUUCUGAGAUAAAGAUCUGGGCUGGGAAUACAAAACCUUUGCCUGAUAUUUUAUAUUAAUCUCCUUUGCAAGGCAAGACUGUCAUUUAGGGGAACUCAGGUACAGCAAAGAGUUUCCAAAGGAACUUGUGGCAGACAGACCAAGGAAGAUAGUUCAGGUAGGUAGGAGGGGAGGUGACAGUAAUGACCCACCCCACUGAUUACCUGUUGAAAGCAAAUUGGAGGUUAUGAGGGUUUCCUUUUCCUUCACAUUUCCUACAUUCAAGAAACAAAAAUCUCUACACCAGAAAGUUGCUAAAAGAAAGCAACUUCAUUUUCCCUGUAUCUCCACAGUCCCAGGAAAAUGAAGUUGCCUAUACUGGGGGAAUUUGUGGUCAAUUUAGAUAAGCACAAAAAAGCAUAGAUUUUUCUCUGUCAUAUGGAUUGGUUGUCUAUAAGUCCUUAAAUUUUUCUACUCCU